GAAAUCUAUCCUACUCUAUUUGGGCUUAACAGAUGAAAAAAGGAAGCAGGAUGACUCAGUCUCCGUGCCUUUUUGGAUGCAGGCAGAAGAAUGCCUCCAUAAAGUGAGCUUUCUGAGGUUUUUUGAAUUUCUUCUGCAACAGCAGAGCAGCAAUGAGCUACCAAAUAUAGUUAAGAUUAUUCUGAAGGAGAUGGAACUCUAUUAGUGCUUUCCCUCUUCCAGAUGGAAAAACUGAAAAGGUGAAGAAUCUUCCUCAGGCCACAGGGUAAGGAAACACCUGAAAGAGUAGAAUUACCCAGAACCUACUCUGUGUAGAUCAUGAGGACCUGCAAGAGUCUUUUAGCCAAUGCUGCUUUCACAGAAGCAAGGCUUACUG
Molecule: long non-coding RNA, 376 nt
Organism: Hirundo rustica (Barn swallow)
Lineage: Eukaryota; Metazoa; Chordata; Aves; Passeriformes; Hirundinidae
Exons: 4
Source: RefSeq, a predicted model, not a curated record